RNAcentral lists this ribosomal RNA (491 nucleotides) under uncultured bacterium. RNAcentral's name for it is "partial 16S ribosomal RNA". It matches the Rfam family "Bacterial small subunit ribosomal RNA", at positions 29 to 506 of the family's 1533-position model. The record is from RNAcentral.
AGUGAACGCUGGCGGUAGGCCCAACACAUGCAAGUCGAACGGCAGCACAGUAAGAGCUUGCUCUUACGGGUGGCGAGUGGCGGACGGGUGAGGAAUACAUCGGAAUCUACUUUUUCGUGGGGGAUAACGUAGGGAAACUUACGCUAAUACCGCAUACGACCUACGGGUGAAAGCAGGGGAUCUUCGGACCUUGCGCGAUUGAAUGAGCCGAUGUCGGAUUAGCUAGUUGGCGGGGUAAAGGCCCACCAAGGCGACGAUCCGUAGCUGGUCUGAGAGGAUGAUGGACACAAUGGGAACGAUGACACGGUGCCAACACCUGCGGUCGCGCGGCGUGGGGAAUAUGAGAAAAGUCGGGGAAGCCUGAUCCAGCCAUAUCGGGAAGGUGAAGAAGCACUGCAGGUCGUAAAGCCCUUUUGUUGGGAAAAAAAAGCAGCAGGUUAAUACCCCGUGCUUGUGGCGGUACCACAAGAAGAAGCAGCGGAUAACUUCGU